UCUCCGUAGGUGAACCUGCGGAGGGAUCAUUACCGAGUGAGGGCUCACGCCCGACCUCCAACCCUUUGUGAACCACACUUGUUGCUUCGGGGGCGACCCUGCCGUUUCGACGGCGAGCGCCCCCGGAGGCCUUCAAACACUGCAUCUUUGCGUCGGAGUUUAAGUAAAUUAAACAAAACUUUGAACAACGGAUCUCUUGGUUCUGGCAACGAUGAAGAACGCAGC
This 225-nucleotide unclassified non-coding RNA is filed under the name uncultured fungus. RNAcentral's name for it is "sequence contains ITS1, 5.8S rRNA gene". The stretch from base 177 to 225 matches the Rfam family "5.8S ribosomal RNA", at positions 1 to 49 of the family's 154-position model. The record is from RNAcentral. Lineage: Eukaryota; Fungi.